RNAcentral lists this ribosomal RNA (997 nucleotides) under uncultured bacterium. RNAcentral's name for it is "bacterial SSU rRNA". It matches the Rfam family "Bacterial small subunit ribosomal RNA", at positions 355 to 1375 of the family's 1533-position model. The record is from RNAcentral.
UGGGGAAUAUUGCACAAUGGGGGAAACCCUGAUGCAGCGACGCCGCGUGAGCGAAGAAGUAUUUCGGUAUGUAAAGCUCUAUCAGCAGGGAAGAUAGUGACGGUACCUGACUAAGAAGCUCCGGCUAACUACGUGCCAGCAGCCGCGGUAAAACGUAGGGUGCAAGCGUUGUCCGGAAUUACUGGGUGUAAAGGGAGCGCAGGCGGGAAGACAAGUUGGAAGUGAAAACCAUGGGCUCAACCCAUGAAUUGCUUUCAAAACUGUUUUUCUUGAGUAGUGCAGAGGUAGAUGGAAUUCCCGGUGUAGCGGUGGAAUGCGUAGAUAUCGGGAGGAACACCAGUGGCGAAGGCGGUCUACUGGGCACCAACUGACGCUGAGGCUCGAAAGCAUGGGUAGCAAACAGGAUUAGAUACCCUGGUAGUCCAUGCCGUAAACGAUGAUUACUAGGUGUUGGGGGAUUGACCCCCUCAGUGCCGCAGUUAACACAAUAAGUAAUCCACCUGGGGAGUACGACCGCAAGGUUGAAACUCAAAGGAAUUGACGGGGGCCCGCACAAGCAGUGGAGUAUGUGGUUUAAUUCGAAGCAACGCGAAGAACCUUACCAGGUCUUGACAUCCGAUGCAUAGCACAGAGAUGUGUGAAAUCCUUCGGGACAUCGAGACAGGUGGUGCAUGGUUGUCGUCAGCUCGUGUCGUGAGAUGUUGGGUUAAGUCCCGCAACGAGCGCAACCCUUAUUGCCAGUUACUACGUUAAGAGGACUCUGGCGAGACUGCCGUUGACAAAACGGAGGAAGGUGGGGAUGACGUCAAAUCAUCAUGCCCUUUAUGACCUGGGCUACACACGUACUACAAUGGCGUUAAACAAAGAGAAGCAAGACCGCGAGGUGGAGCAAAACUCAAAAACAACGUCUCAGUUCAGAUUGCAGGCUGCAACUCGCCUGCAUGAAGUCGGAAUUGCUAGUAAUCGCGGAUCAGCAUGCCGCGGUGAAUACGUUCCC